GAACAAAAGAGAAAUGAAGAUGGAACUGAGCUGCACCGAUCUUCGCCUACCCAUCUUCAGUUGUCGUUACGCCAAAUGAGAGAGAAGACUGAACUGUGAACAAAUUAGAAGCUUUUCUUAUGCACAAAAAACGAUUUCCUAUUUCCAGGUUCUCCCUUCAUAAUUCCGCCCCUUUAAUUUCCUUUUCCCCCAAAAUUUUCCUUUUUCAAAUUAUUACACUUUCUAUUAUUUUAUUAUUAUAUUCAAAAACAAUUUUAACUACUCAAAUCUUAAAACUUUAAUAUAUUAUGUUCUGUCAUCAUGCGAACGUUUUUCAACGAUAUUUGUAAUAUUUAAAACUAAUAAAAUAUACAAAUCAAAUUUACAUCUUAAACUUCGCAUUCUAACAAAUAUUGUCAUAUGAGAUAAAGCUGGGAGAGUAUUAGCUCAUUUUACAAGGGGUUUGACCCUUUAAUUGUUUCACCAAAAUCACUUGUGUUUCUUUGAUUAACAAUACAUCCCCAAAGUCAACAAACAUAAAAAGGGAGUUAGAAUGAAUAAAUGAGAUACGUCACUUAUUUUUAUGUGAAAUUUUGAGUACCAAGAAACAAUGGAGUGUAACAUUUGCAUUAUUCAAAUCAAGACAAUAUAUAUAGAAAGAUAUAUAUAGGUGGGAAUAACCAAACUGAUGUGGCAUGUCUCAUAUGCAAGAAUUCUCAUUUAUCUUGAUUCUCCUUUUUUUGCUUUAAAAAAAACCUUCUUACCACUUUUUAUUACUAAUUUAUUACAAUUAAUACAAUCAAUACUAAUUCUACCAUAAUCAUCCAAUGUACGUUACUAUUUCUAUUCAUAUUACUGAAUGUAAGUUACAAAUUGUAAUGGUCACUAUAAAUACUAAAGCACAUCUUCUCCAAUACAUACCUUUCUUCUUUUUUUCUCAUUAAUCUUUCUUUUACUUUUCAUUCAAACUCUUUAUAAAGAAAGAAUUUAUUUUUCUUGUACCUUUUGAUUAGAGAAUGAUGGUGGGAGAGUGAGAACAAGAAAAGCAGUAAGAGAGAAACUGUUUUGUGGAAUUUUCUAUUUUUCAUGAUAUUAGUAGGAAUGGAAAGGGGAGUUGAUUUGCUUCUUUAAGGAAGGAUGAUAGUUUUUAAUUUUCUGGAGGGAUUGAAAGAUAUGAAUAUGAAAAGCAAAUUAUACCAGAAUAGAAAAAAAUAUUCUGGUUUACUGAUAAAUGAUAAUAUAUUUUGUUUAAUAUUUUAGUAUCUAGAUUUUACUUUCAAGAUCAGAAUAUCCAUGUAUUAUGUUUUAUUUAUUUAUUUUGCAAUUUAUAGUAUUUAUUGAAUGUUGUUUUAUAAAAAUAGGUAAAACUUGCGAGGAAAAUGAUGAAUCGAGCAUUAAAGUGGCGGGCGGAAGGUUCUUGGCAUUCCAGCUGAAAUUUUUUCUUCCAUUACACUACAAAUUAUCACAAAAAUGUAACGUUUAACUUUCUUUGAAACAUGAUUUACUUUGUAUUUCCUUUUUUUCUAAAAAGAAUUAACGGGGAACUGCAAGGAUCCAUUCAUUUUUUAGACUUUGAUCUUUUAUUUAAUUGCUAAGACAGUAGAUUUCUCUGUCACCUUAUUGACUAA
RNAcentral lists this long non-coding RNA (1607 nucleotides) under Nicotiana tabacum (common tobacco). Its description in RNAcentral is "long non-coding RNA (NTAB_LNC014870)". The record is from RNAcentral. Lineage: Eukaryota; Viridiplantae; Streptophyta; Magnoliopsida; Solanales; Solanaceae.